Molecule: ribosomal RNA, 498 nt
Filed under: uncultured bacterium
Lineage: Bacteria
Description: partial 16S ribosomal RNA
Rfam family: Bacterial small subunit ribosomal RNA
Source: RNAcentral
GGAUGAACGCUGGCGGCGUGCCUAAUACAUGCAAGUCGAGCGAACAGACGAGGAGCUUGCUCCUUUGACGUUAGCGGCGGACGGGUGAGUAACACGUAGGUAACCUACCUAUAAGACUGGGAUAACUUCGGGAAACCGGAGCUAAUACCGGAUAAUAUUUCGAACCGCAUGGUUCGAUAGUGAAAGAUGGCUUUGCUAUCACUUAUAGAUGGACCUGCGCCGUAUUAGCUAGUUGGUAAGGUAACGGCUUACCAAGGCAACGAUACGUAGCCGACCUGAGAGGGUGAUCGGCCACACUGGAACUGAGACACGGUCCAGACUCCUACGGGAGGCAGCAGUAGGGAAUCUUCCGCAAUGGGCGAAAGCCUGACGGAGCAACGCCGCGUGAGUGAUGAAGGUCUUCGGAUCGUAAAACUCUGUUAUUAGGGAAGAACAAACGUGUAAGUAACUGUGCACGUCUUGACGGUACCUAAUCAGAAAGCCACGGCUAACUACGUG